Molecule: non-coding RNA, 1125 nt
Organism: Oryzias latipes (Japanese medaka)
Lineage: Eukaryota; Metazoa; Chordata; Actinopteri; Beloniformes; Adrianichthyidae
Source: RefSeq, a predicted model, not a curated record
ACAAAAAAAUGUAAAAUAAUGAAAAACUGUUUAGGUUAAAUAAACUGUAAAAAAAACUAACUGUGGUGAUGUAUAGAUAUAUAGAAAUUAAAAAUUAAGAAAACAAACAAACAUUUCAUGAUUUUGUUGUCUUACUUCCUGUAUUUCCGGAAGUAGUAAGCCCGCGAACCGGAAACGCAGGUAUCUUACCGGCAGUCAGCGGUCAAAAAAGUCUCGUCUAAAGACAUCUUUAGUUUCCCCGACAUUCUGAAAGGACAGGAAAGGACAUCUGCACGGAUGCUGAGGGCAAAGAGCUGCAGAGUGUAUUUCCCACCAGUGAUACCAGAACGAGGCGAUUCUCUGAUGGGAACGUCACGCUGACAGAAAGGCGGGCGCAUCAGAAGUCCGCCGUGGUCACGCUGGUGUCACCUUGGAUCCAGGUGGGAGUCGGCUCCGGUCAGGUGAAGGUGAUGUGAAGAGAGGCGCCGUGCCACUCAUGCUGAACGCAGGUCAAACGCCGCCGCCCACACGCCGGAACCAGGGGAACGCCCGACCGACACUUCCAUGUGGAGGAGUGGACUUCAGGUUGGUUCUUUUAUGGUUAAAAGCCCCCUGUCCUGUGGCCCCCGACCGUUUUUAGACCACAUGCUGGUUUAAACGGUUAGAUACCUCUGUUGACUGGGUGCAGGACCGACAUGCAGGGAACCUGGGUUUACCUCCCAGGUCUUGUUAAAAUGUCCACUUAGGAACAGAUUGUGGAAAACGGAGAAUCUGGAUACUCGUUAGAGGCCUACAUGAGGGCCCAGCUGGGAUUUCAACCAGGACCCUCUCGCUCUAAAACCUAAAGGGAGGAUGGGAGGAGCAUCGCUCCACCUGCUUUCAAAGGAAAACGGCCAUUUCCUGCCGUUGCUCUUUGACUUGCUGCCAAUCACCUUCAGGUGAAGUCAGAGAUGCUAACGAGUGGGAUGGACCUCGUCACAUCCUGACCUUUCCCGCUCAGAGGAAGGAGCAGAUCUAAGGGAAUCCUGGGAAGACGUGUGGAAGUUAAUUAAGCGCCGUUCUGAAGAUUUAGCAUCUGUUUUUCCCUGAAAGAACAUUUUAAUAAAUCAUAGAAACGUCACAUUUGAACCUGUUUAAAGCAGCAGA